RNAcentral lists this transfer RNA (73 nucleotides) under Dermacentor andersoni. RNAcentral describes it as "transfer RNA threonine (anticodon CGU)". It matches the Rfam family "tRNA". From Rfam's summary of the family: Transfer RNA (tRNA) molecules are approximately 80 nucleotides in length. Their secondary structure includes four short double-helical elements and three loops (D, anti-codon, and T loops). Lineage: Eukaryota; Metazoa; Arthropoda; Arachnida; Ixodida; Ixodidae. The record is from RNAcentral.
GCCGCGGUAGCUCAUUUGGUAGAGCAUCGCACACGUAAUGCGAAGGUUGUGGGAUCGUUCCCCACUUGCGGCA